This 456-nucleotide ribosomal RNA is filed under the name Staphylococcus aureus. Its description in RNAcentral is "partial 23S ribosomal RNA". It matches the Rfam family "Bacterial large subunit ribosomal RNA", at positions 701 to 1155 of the family's 2925-position model. Lineage: Bacteria; Bacillati; Bacillota; Bacilli; Caryophanales; Staphylococcaceae. The record is from RNAcentral.
AUUUGGUCGUAGACCCGAAACCAGGUGAUCUACCCUUGGUCAGGUUGAAGUUCAGGUAACACUGAAUGGAGGACCGAACCGACUUACGUUGAAAAGUGAGCGGAUGAACUGAGGGUAGCGGAGAAAUUCCAAUCGAACCUGGAGAUAGCUGGUUCUCUCCGAAAUAGCUUUAGGGCUAGCCUCAAGUGAUGAUUAUUGGAGGUAGAGCACUGUUUGGACGAGGGGCCCCUCUCGGGUUACCGAAUUCAGACAAACUCCGAAUGCCAAUUAAUUUAACUUGGGAGUCAGAACAUGGGUGAUAAGGUCCGUGUUCGAAAGGGAAACAGCCCAGACCACCAGCUAAGGUCCCAAAAUAUAUGUUAAGUGGAAAAGGAUGUGGCGUUGCCCAGACAACUAGGAUGUUGGCUUAGAAGCAGCCAUCAUUUAAAGAGUGCGUAAUAGCUCACUAGUCGAGUG